GGAUUGCGAUGGCUCUGGGGUUUGCGCAGAAUGCAGAGGGGAAGGAUUUGUGCUAAAAAAGAUGUCGGAUGAAAAUGCUGAAAGAGCGAGACUAAUGGCAAAGAAUGCAGCUACCAGAUAUACAGCAGGGCUUCCGAAAAAGUGGGGCUACUGUAUGAAAUGCAAUGCUGCCAGAUCUUGUAGUUCAUGUGGCGGCGUUGGCAAAUUGAACUAAUUGUUCUGCAUUAGACAGACAUUUGUC
Molecule: unclassified non-coding RNA, 241 nt
Filed under: Hevea brasiliensis (rubber tree)
Lineage: Eukaryota; Viridiplantae; Streptophyta; Magnoliopsida; Malpighiales; Euphorbiaceae
Source: RNAcentral